RNAcentral lists this transfer RNA (91 nucleotides) under Enterobacteriaceae endosymbiont of Donacia tomentosa. RNAcentral describes it as "tRNA-Leu". It matches the Rfam family "tRNA". Rfam says of the family: Transfer RNA (tRNA) molecules are approximately 80 nucleotides in length. Their secondary structure includes four short double-helical elements and three loops (D, anti-codon, and T loops). The record is from RNAcentral. Lineage: Bacteria; Pseudomonadati; Pseudomonadota; Gammaproteobacteria; Enterobacterales; Enterobacteriaceae.
GCGGAAGUGGCGGAAUAGGUAGACGCACCAGAUUUAGGUUCUGGCAAUUUAAGAUUAUGAUAUUAUACGAGUUCAAGUCUCGUCUUCCGCA